CAGGCCUAACACAUGCAAGUCGAACGGUAACAUGAAAGAGCUUGCUCUUUUGAUGACGAGUGGCGGACGGGUGAGUAAUGUCUGGGGAUCUGCCCGAUGGAGGGGGAUAACUACUGGAAACGGUAGCUAAUACCGCAUAAUGUCGCAAGACCAAAGUGGGGGACCUUCGGGCCUCACGCCAUCGGAUGAACCCAGAUGGGAUUAGCUGGUAGGUGAGGUAAUGGCUCACCUAGGCGACGAUCCCUAGCUGGUCUGAGAGGAUGACCAGCCACACUGGAACUGAGACACGGUCCAGACUCCUACGGGAGGCAGCAGUGGGGAAUAUUGCACAAUGGGCGCAAGCCUGAUGCAGCCAUGCCGCGUGUAUGAAGAAGGCCUUCGGGUUGUAAAGUACUUUCAGCGGGGAGGAAGGGGAUUAAGUUAACAGCUUAGUUCAUUGACGUUACCCGCAGAAGAAGCACCGGCUAACUCCGUGCCAGCAGCCGCGGUAAU
RNAcentral lists this ribosomal RNA (492 nucleotides) under uncultured bacterium. RNAcentral's name for it is "bacterial SSU rRNA". It matches the Rfam family "Bacterial small subunit ribosomal RNA", at positions 43 to 524 of the family's 1533-position model. The record is from RNAcentral.